Molecule: microRNA precursor, 98 nt
Filed under: Brassica oleracea var. oleracea
Lineage: Eukaryota; Viridiplantae; Streptophyta; Magnoliopsida; Brassicales; Brassicaceae
Description: MIR9563 microRNA precursor family
Rfam family: MIR9563 microRNA precursor family
Source: Rfam by way of RNAcentral
GGAAGUUAAGAAACUGUUUCUUAACUUUUAACUAAAAAAGCUAAGAACCGGUUCUUAGCUUUUUUAGUUAAAAGUUAAGAAACAGUUUUUUAACUUCC